RNAcentral lists this ribosomal RNA (440 nucleotides) under uncultured bacterium. RNAcentral describes it as "partial 16S ribosomal RNA". It matches the Rfam family "Bacterial small subunit ribosomal RNA", at positions 338 to 795 of the family's 1533-position model. The record is from RNAcentral.
CCUACGGGAGGCAGCAGUGGGGAAUAUUGCACAAUGGGGGAAACCCUGAUGCAGCGACGCCGCGUGAGUGAAGACGUCCUUCGGGAUGUAAAGCUCUAUCAGCAGGGAAGAAAAUGACGGUACCUGAGGAAGAAGCCACGGCUAACUAAGUGCCAGCAGCCGCGGUAAUACGUAGGUGGCAAGCGUUAACCGGAUUUACUGGGUGUAAAGGGAGCGUAGGCGGAAGUGCAAGUCAGGUGUGAAAUGCUCGGGCUCAACUCGCGGGCUGCGGUGGAAACUGGACGGCUAGAGUGCAGGAGAGGUAAGUGGAAUUCCUAGUGUAGCGGUGAAAUGCGUAGAUAUUAGGAAGAACACCAGUGGCGAAGGCGGCUUACUGGACUGUAACUGACGCUGAGGCUCGAAAGCGUGGGGAGCAAACAGGAUUAGAUACCCCUGUAGUC